Non-coding RNA from Nemania sp. FL0916, 93 nucleotides. The record is from the annotation of a GenBank genome assembly. NCBI's taxonomy places the organism in Eukaryota, Fungi, Ascomycota, Sordariomycetes, Xylariales, Xylariaceae.
GGACCCAUAGCUCAGCGGUAGAGCAUCUGAUUCCAGUUAAAUGGUAUACUCACUGUAUCCAGAAGGUCAUCCGUUCAAAUCGGGUUGGGUUCA